UACGUAGGGUGCGAGCGUUGUCCGGAAUUAUUGGGCGUAAAGGGCUCGUAGGCGGUCUGUCACGUCGGGAGUGAAAACUCGGGGCUCAACCCCGAGCCUGCUUCCGAUACGGGCAGACUAGAGGUAUGCAGGGGAGAAUGGAAUUCCUGGUGUAGCGGUGAAAUGCGCAGAUAUCAGGAGGAACACCGGUGGCGAAGGCGGCAUCCUGGACCGAUAUUGACGCUGAUGCGCGAAAGCCAGGGGAGCAAACGGG
Molecule: ribosomal RNA, 253 nt
Filed under: uncultured bacterium
Lineage: Bacteria
Description: partial 16S ribosomal RNA
Rfam family: Bacterial small subunit ribosomal RNA
Source: RNAcentral